Molecule: ribosomal RNA, 460 nt
Filed under: uncultured bacterium
Lineage: Bacteria
Description: partial 16S ribosomal RNA
Rfam family: Bacterial small subunit ribosomal RNA
Source: RNAcentral
CCUACGGGAGGCAGCAGUGAGGAAUAUUGGUCAAUGGGCGCGAGCCUGAACCAGCCAAGUCGCGUGAGGGAUGAAGGUUCUAUGGAUCGUAAACCUCUUUUAUAAGGGAAUAAAGUGUGGGACGUGUCCUAUUUUGUAUGUACCUUAUGAAUAAGGAUCGGCUAACUCCGUGCAAGCAGCCGCGGUAAUACGGAGGAUCCGAGCAUUAUCCGGAUUUAGUGGGUUUAAAGGGUGCGUAGGCGGCCUUGUAAGUCAGCGGUGAAAGUCUGUGGGUCAACCAUAGAAUUGCAGUUGAAACGGGUGGGCUUGAGUGUGUUUGAGGCAGGCGGAAUGCGUGGUGUAGCGGUGAAAUGCUGAGAUAUCACGCAGAACCCCGAUGGCGAAGGCAGCCUGACAAGCCAUGACUGACGCUGAUGCACGAAAGCGUGGGGAUCAAACAGGAUUAGAUACCCCUGUAGUC